ACGAAGGCGGUCGCAUAUUGCACCGGUCGCAAAAAUAAACGUCAACACUAAUAUUGUAUUGGAAAACCGCGGUACAUGACGACGGCACAUAGUUUGUUGUAGAAACACAGUCGCGAUAUUCGCGGUACUAACGCGCCCGCGUUCGGUAUACGUUUUUAUCGCGUUCGUCGUAAAUUCUUCGCACACGAAAAUAAUAAUUGGGUACCAAAUACGUGUUACAUUUACGCGUCUUGUUUAAAAUACCUGUAUUAUAAUGUGGUGACAAACUGUAAAGCUUAACCUAUAU
Molecule: non-coding RNA, 286 nt
Organism: Cinara cedri
Lineage: Eukaryota; Metazoa; Arthropoda; Insecta; Hemiptera; Aphididae
Source: the annotation of a GenBank genome assembly